ACCUUAGAGACCAACUAAGUUUGUUAUUGGUAUGAGCUUUCGUGUACAUGAAGUGUGCAUGCACACAAAAGCUCAUACCAAUAACAAACUUAGUUGGUCUCUAAGGU
This is a non-coding RNA of Podarcis lilfordi (Lilford's wall lizard), 107 nucleotides long. Lineage: Eukaryota; Metazoa; Chordata; Lepidosauria; Squamata; Lacertidae. The record is from the annotation of a GenBank genome assembly.